AUUGAACGCUGGCGGCAGGCCUAACACAUGCAAGUCGAGCGAGCGGCGGACGGGUGCGUAAUGUAUGGGGACUGCCCGAUCGACGGGGAUAACUACUGGAAACGGUGGCUAAUCCCGCAUACUAUCGGAUACCCCAUAUGGGAUUAGCUAGUAGGUGGGGUAAAGGCGCACAUAGGCGACGAUCUCUAGCUGGUCUGCGAGGAUGAUCAGCCACACGGGGACUGGGACACGGCCCAGACUCCUACGGAGGAAGCAGAGGGGAAUAUUGGACAAUGGGCGCAAGCCUGAUGCAGCCAUGCCGGGGGUAUGAGAAAGGCCUGAGGGUUGUAAAGUACUUUCAGCGGGGAGGCGUUACCCGCAGAAGAAUCACGGGCUAACUCCGUGCAAGAGGCCGCGGUAAUAC
Molecule: ribosomal RNA, 403 nt
Filed under: uncultured bacterium
Lineage: Bacteria
Description: partial 16S ribosomal RNA
Rfam family: Bacterial small subunit ribosomal RNA
Source: RNAcentral